UAGAGGGCGGGCCUGGCAAGCACAGGCUGGGUGGGAUGACCGGAAUGCAUGUGUGUCCGGGUUGCAAAAGAACCCCUCAACUCGAAAUCUAGAGUGGCCACAGCCGGGAAACUAAAGCUUCGGUUUAUUAUUAGAUGUCGGGGCCUUUCCUAUACUGCUGCCGGGUGUGAAGAGGACCCUGCCAUCAGAUCUGCACCAGUGCUCCUCUACUCACCCCCCACCACCCCGACCCGGAAGAGAUCGGAGCACGGUGAUGGAGAGUGCAACUGAGCCUUGUGGCCUUUUUGGCUAUGGAAAGAUUGUAGAAGAGGCUACUCUAUCAUAAAUACAUUAUCCAAUGGACCUGUUCCAAUGUGACAUUGAAGGAGAUGAUCCAAAUCACAGCGCUUUCGAUGCAGAAUCCAGAAUAGUCCAAAUUGAAGAUUCUUGGGACUCUGUGAUAUAUUAAGAAAUUCUAAGCCAAGGCUUAGUGUUUGUUCCUUCAAUUCUAAGUUUUUUUUCAUUUAAUUUCAGACAACACGCUCAGCUUCAUUAUAUCCAAGUUGAAGUAAAUUUAUUGCCAUUAUAACAACCAGUUCAGCUGCUUUUAUAAUAUUGUUCUUGACAUACUGCUGGGACCAUGACUUUCAUACGUUCAACCAAUUGGUUUGGGUGUUUCACAUUUCUUUGUACCAUUUGUGUAAUUCUAUUCUGGCUGGAAAAUAAGAGUGUUUGGGUUAUUGCUACCUAAUGUCAUGUUUAGUCAAAAUUCUUUUGUGUAUUCAGGUAUAAGGCAUUUAUUACUUCUAGAAUACCACCCCCAGUUGUAUCUUCCAGACAGAAACAGGCUGUCUCCCCUUCCCUCCCCUCUCUUCCUCUUCUUCCCUUUCCUCCCUUCCUCUCGCUUCUAUUUCAUUUUCUCUAAGGACCGGGAAUGGAAACUGAGUAGUGUCUAAUGGAAAUACACUGAAAUUUCAAGUUCCUCAUAUUUUGGAAUGCUCUAUAGCAUGCUCAAGAAACAAGGUGUUCAAGGAGGUUACGUUUACCUAUAAGAUGCUAUAGAAAAUGAUAUGAUAAAUGAACAAAACAGAAGAGACCACACAUUGUAAAAUAAGGGAAUAAUUCUGCAUUCUUUUUUUCUCUAUUAUUUCUUUUUAAUUCUGUAAUCUUUUUUUUUCAGAGUUGAGACUUUCUUUAAUGAAAAACAGUGUAUAGGCCAUUUCCAAGAUUUGAGCACCAAACUGUUUCUUGGGAAUGGCACAAACUUCCACAAUUUUUAAAAAAAUUAUUUAUUUAACAACCACAUACUUAGAAGAA
Molecule: long non-coding RNA, 1296 nt
Organism: Nannospalax galili (Upper Galilee mountains blind mole rat)
Lineage: Eukaryota; Metazoa; Chordata; Mammalia; Rodentia; Spalacidae
Exons: 4
Source: RefSeq, a predicted model, not a curated record